Molecule: ribosomal RNA, 686 nt
Filed under: bacterium 32-L049658-122-015-H04
Lineage: Bacteria
Description: bacterial SSU rRNA
Rfam family: Bacterial small subunit ribosomal RNA
Source: RNAcentral
GCAGCCGAGCGGUAUUUCUUCUUCGGAAGAGAGAGAGCGGCGUACGGGUGCGUAACACGUGUGCAACCUACCUUUAUCUGGGGAAUAGCCUUUCGAAAGGAAGAUUAAUACCCUAUAAUAUAUUGAAUGGCAUCAUUUGAUAUUGAAAACUCCGGUGGAUAGAGAUGGGCACGCGCAAGAUUAGAUAGUUGGUGAGGUAACGGCUCACCAAGUCAAUGAUCUUUAGGGGUCCUGAGAGGGAGAUCCCCCACACUGGUACUGAGACACGGACCAGACUCCUACGGGAGGCAGCAGUGAGGAAUAUUGGACAAUGGGUGAAAGCCUGAUCCAGCCAUCCCGCGUGAAGGAUGACGGUCCUAUGGAUUGUAAACUUCUUUUGUACAGGAAUAAACCUACUCUCGUGAGAGUAGCUGAAGGUACUGUACGAAUAAGCACCGGCUAACUCCGUGCCAGCAGCCGCGGUAAUACGGAGGGUGCAAGCGUUAUCCGGAUUUAUUGGGUUUAAAGGGUCCGUAGGCGGACCCGUAAGUCAGUGGUGAAAUCUCAUAGCUCAACUAUGAAACUGCCAUUGAUACUGCGGGUCUUGAGUAAAUUUGAAGUGGCUGGAAUAAGUAGUGUAGCGGUGAAAUGCAUAGAUAUUACUUAGAACACCAAUUGCGAAAGCAGGUCACUAAGAUUUAACUGAC